GACGAACGCUGGCGGCGUGCUUAACACAUGCAAGUCGAACGGAAAGGCCCUGCUUUUGUGGGGUGCUCGAGUGGCGAACGGGUGAGUAACCCGUGAGUAACCUGCCAUUGCCUUUGGGAUAACUUCAGGAAACUGGGGCUAAUACCGGCUAGGAGCUCUUGCUGCAUGGUGGGGGCUGGAUAGUUUCGGCGGUUGGGGAUGGACUCGCGGCUGAUCGGCUUGUUGGUGGGGUAGUGGCUUACCAAGGCCUUGACGGGUAGCCGGCCUGGGCGGGUAACCGGCCACAUUGGGACGGGGAUGCGGCCCAGACUCCUACGGGAGGCAGCGGUGGGGAAUAUAGCACAAGAGGCGGAAGCCUGAUGCAGCAACGCCGCGUGCGGGAUGACAGCCUGCGGGUUGUAUUCCGCUGUCGCCUUAGACGAGGCGUGAGUGACGGUAAUGGGUAAAGAAGCACCGGCUAACUACGUG
RNAcentral lists this ribosomal RNA (468 nucleotides) under uncultured bacterium. RNAcentral's name for it is "partial 16S ribosomal RNA". It matches the Rfam family "Bacterial small subunit ribosomal RNA", at positions 28 to 507 of the family's 1533-position model. The record is from RNAcentral.